This 490-nucleotide ribosomal RNA is filed under the name uncultured bacterium. RNAcentral describes it as "partial 16S ribosomal RNA". It matches the Rfam family "Bacterial small subunit ribosomal RNA", at positions 30 to 507 of the family's 1533-position model. The record is from RNAcentral.
AGUGAACGCUGGCGGCAGGCCUAACACAUGCAAGUCGAACGGCAGCACAAGAGAGCUUGCUCUCUGGGUGGCGAGUGGCGGACGGGUGAGGAAUGCAUCGGAAUCUGCCCAUUUGUGGGGGAUAACCUCGGGAAACCGGGACUAAUACCGCAUACGACCUACGGGUGAAAGCAGGGGAUCUUCGGACCUUGCGCAGAUGGAUGAGCCGAUGCCGGAUUAGCUAGGUGGAGGGGUAAAGGCCCACCAAGGCGACGGUCCGAAGCUGGUCCGAGGGGAAGAUCACCCAGCCGGGGAGAGAGACACGGCACAGACUCCGACGCGGGGACACAGCGGAGAAUCUUGGAGGAGGGAGGAGAGCGUGAUACAGCAAUGCCGGGUGUGGGAAGAAGGACUUAGGGUUGUAGAGCACUUUAGUUGGGAAGGAAAAACAGCCGGUUUACACCCGGUUGUAAUGACGGUACCCAGAGAAUAAGCACCGGCUAACUUCGUG